This 492-nucleotide ribosomal RNA is filed under the name uncultured bacterium. RNAcentral describes it as "partial 16S ribosomal RNA". It matches the Rfam family "Bacterial small subunit ribosomal RNA", at positions 29 to 507 of the family's 1533-position model. The record is from RNAcentral.
AGUGAACGCUGGCGGUAGGCCUAACACAUGCAAGUCGAACGGCAGCACAGUAAGAGCUUGCUCUUACGGGUGGCGAGUGGCGGACGGGUGAGGAAUACAUCGGAAUCUACUUUUUCGUGGGGGAUAACGUAGGGAAACUUACGCUAAUACCGCAUACGACCUACGGGUGAAAGCAGGGGAUCUUCGGACCUUGCGCGAUUGAAUGAGCCGAUGUCGGAUUAGCUAGUUGGCGGGGUAAAGGCCCACCAAGGCGACGAUCCGUAGCUGGUCUGAGAGGAUGAAUAGGCAACACUGAACUGGAGCACGGGCCCGACUCCUAAGGGAGGCCGCAGUGGGGAAUAUUUGACCAUGGGGCGAAGGCUGAACCAGGCCAUCCGGGGGGGUGAAAGAGGCCUUCGGGUUUGUAAACCCCUUUUGUGGGAAAGAAAAGGAGCAGGUUUAUACCCCGCUGUUCUGACGGUACCCAAAGAAUAAGCACCGGCUAACUUCGUG